This 2600-nucleotide long non-coding RNA is filed under the name Anser brachyrhynchus (Pink-footed goose). RNAcentral's name for it is "lncRNA (ENSABRG00000015083.1)". Lineage: Eukaryota; Metazoa; Chordata; Aves; Anseriformes; Anatidae. The record is from RNAcentral.
CCCACUUGGAUUUUGUCUCUUCUUUCACAGCAAAGGCAGCUGCAGCAGCGCUGGAAGACUUUUCCGACAGGAGAGGUGCUUAGAAAUGGACGGGACGGCCCCUCUGCCCCCGGUGACAACUUGAUGUUCUCCUUUAGGCACGGAGAGAGCACGGUGGGGCACGGAGGUGCCGCCUUCCUCCUCCCUUAACCCACAAGUUUUCACCUUGGGGCUCUCCUGACACCUCCAGCUUUCCCACAAGCAGAUAUUUUUGCCUCAUUAACUUUUCCAAGCUGAUUCACUUCACAAAGAACACCCCCCUCCAGACCCCCCAUUGUACUGUGUUUAAUUUUAAAGGCAUAAAAAUAACAUCUCGCACUUGCGAGGUGGCCGGGGACGUGCACAGAGUGGGGUGUUUGGGUUUGGGAACCUCUCCAUGCCCAAGCUCUCAGCUGCAGCAUUCCCCCAUGGCCGUAGGAGCGGGCACGUUUCUCUCAAUUACCUCCCCGAUGGCCUCGUUCCAGCAACAAUUAGCAGCCUGCGAGGGACUCUGGUGUCCUGCCUUACAGCUUCCUAAUAUAAUUACCGCAGCAAAUGAGCAGCGAAUUAAAUCAAGGAGAAAGGCAGGGGGAGGAACCCGUUGUGUGUGCUGCCAGGGGUCAGCGCUCUGCUUGUCUCAAGGCAAAAAGGCACCACUUGGGCCCUGCCCAGCCAGGCAUCCCCAGCCUGGGGACCCUCCUGCCGAGCUGGAGGGAUGCUGCAGUGGUGAUUUACCCCGGGCAUCCUGCGUGCCAUCAUCCCCACCACCAGGGCUGAAGCUGUCACCUUCCCGACUGGCCGUCCUGCUGCUGAAAGGCACAAAAUGUGCAAGGCUUCCCCUUCGCCCACUGCCCUGACCUGCAGACCUUGGCUGAAAACCGUGAACAAACCUCUCGGAAGGCAGGGCUGGAGCAUCGGGACCUCGGAGGGAUUGUUUGGAUUGUUUUACAGAGACUGACCAUCUGCUGAAUUAUUUAGAGAAGUAAAUACAAGGCUCGGGAGGGAGAGCCCUGCCCCUGGGCUGGGGGAGCUUGGCAAAGUCUCCGGGCUUUCUGCAAGGCUUUGGGGAGGAGGCACCCAAAAAAUGAGGGGUCCGUGGACCAUGGGGGGCUGAAGCCAGUGACCACCUUGGGCAGCCUUUGCAUUGGAGUGGAUGUUUAGCAGUGACAGGGGCAGCUCCGGGACCCGUUGCUGGUGGGUGUCAGGCUGCCUGCCCCUUCCCCGUUCCCUUCAGCCCCUUCCCCUGCUCCUGCCGGUGCCCGACCCCAUCCCACAACAUCUCCCCGGAGCCCUGGUGUGAUGCCAGCCAGGGAACGAGCCAAGAACCUGCUGCCAGGGGCUCGGGUUGGAGUUCCUGGCUUGCUCUGGGAUUUCUCAGGCUGGAGGCAGGGAAGGGCUACGCCUUGUUCUUGCAUCACUGCAAAAGGACAAGAGGUGCCUUGCUGGCCAAGUGGGGCACAAAGCAGGCUGUUCUCCCACGGGCAGAACAGGGAAAAUAGUUCUCCACAGCCCCUCUGUUCAGCAGCUGGGACGGAGCUGUGCACCCUGAGGAAGAAGAGCCCUGUGGGGAGGAAGGUCGGGCUCUCGGUUGGGCUUACACCGGCUGCAAAGGGGUCCGGAGCCCCUCGCUCCCCUUCCCCAGGGCCGUGGGCACCGGGGAGCACAAAGCAGGGAGCGAGUCCUGCGCACGCAUCCUCUGCCCCGCAGGUUUCUGCUCCCUGAAGGAUUAAUUUGCGCAGGGAGAGGUUUGCAGCGGAGCUGACGUUAAUAACAGGCUGAGUUAGAGCCCCGCUGCGGAGCGGGAUGUUAAUGGCUCCGCGCGGCGAUGGAAGGGGGCUGUUAUUGAAAACGAUCUCUGGGCUGUUGGGUUUUGCUGAACCCUGGAAUUACAAGGGGUUUGUGGGGAGGUCGGAUCUCCCCUGCCGCCAUGGCAGGCAGGGGGGGCGGAUGGCUGCUGCCCCAGCCCGGCUGCAGUAAGGGGUGGUCAGGACACCAAAACCCCAGGAAAAUAUUCAUAUCUGCAGCCUGGCAAUGGGAUAAACCUUGAUUUUUCCUACCGGGCUGUUCGUGUGCUCUGGCAUAGCUUGGAAAAUCACAGCAUUGGUCCUGAGCAGCCGUGAAGGUGCAGGGAAGGGGGGGUGCAGGGGUGGGGGAUGCUGCGGAAGGGGGGUGCUGCAGGAAAGGGGACACGGCACUGCUGGGGAGCAGCCCACCGACGAGCACACGCCAUCCCCUCAAUGCCAUCUCAUCCCCAGGUCCCCUCCCUGAGCAGAGCACCGAGACUCCUGGUGGCUGCGGUUUUUACGGCUGCCCAUAAACAGUCCCCUCCAUCUCUCUCUCCGUUUUUAAUUACCUAGAAAAUAACCUCCAUUCAAUUUACAGCUCAUUUGAAGCUACGAGCAAGGGCCCAUAAAUAUUUAAUGUGUUUAGAAGUGGCACCAACUGUCCAGGGUUUUUUUUUUCUUUUCAUUUUUCCAGGAGUCGCCUUCGGUUCAGCAUAUUUACACCCCCCCCAUCUUUUACUUCUCCACCCAGAACCUCCUGUGAAUAAAGGAGCAGGAGGUAAAAGCUGGCCGAGGGCU